CCUACGGGAGACAGCAGUGAGGAAUAUUGGUCAAUGGACGGAAGUCUGAACCAGCCAUGCCGCGUGCAGGAAGACGGCUCUAUGAGUUGUAAACUGCUUUUGUACAAGGGUAAACCUGAAUACGUGUAUUCCGCUGAGAGUACUGUACGAAUAAGCCUCGGCUAACUACGUGCCAGCAGCCGCGGUAAUACGUAGGAGGCAAGCGUUAUCCGGACUGACUGGGCGUAAAGGGUGCGUAGGUGGUUUGACAAGUUGGUAGCGUAACUCCGGGGCUCAACCUCGGCACUACUACCAAAACUGUCGGACUUGAGUGCAGGAGGGGCAAAUGGAAUUCCUAGUGUAGCGGUGGAAUGCGUAGAUAUUAGGAGGAACACCAGUGGCGAAGGCGAUUUGCUGGACUGUAACUGACACUGAGGCACGAAAGCGUGGGUAGCAAACAGGAUUAGAUACCCCUGUAGUC
RNAcentral lists this ribosomal RNA (460 nucleotides) under uncultured bacterium. Its description in RNAcentral is "partial 16S ribosomal RNA". It matches the Rfam family "Bacterial small subunit ribosomal RNA", at positions 338 to 795 of the family's 1533-position model. The record is from RNAcentral.